GAUGAACGCUGGCGGCGUGCUUAACACAUGCAAGUCGAACGGAAAGGCUCUUGCUUGCUGCUGUACUCGAGUGGCGAACGGGUGAGUAACACGUGGAUGACCUGCUCUGCACUUCGGGAUAAGCCUAGGAAACUGGGUCUACUAUCGGACAGCACAUUGGCUUGGAUGCCAUGGUGGAAAGCUUUUUGGGUGUGGGGUGAGCUCGCGGGCUUUGCGCUUUUGGGAGGGGUAGUGUCCUAUCCAGGCGUCGGCGGGUAGCCGGCCUUGGAGGGUGUACGGGCCCCUUGGGACUGAGAGAAGGCCCAGACUCGGACUGGAGGGAGCAGUGGGGAAUGUUGCACAAUGGGGGCACGCCUGGUGCAGCGACGCUGCGGGGGGGAUGACGGUUUUCGGGUGGGAAAAUCGCUUCGCUAGGGACAAAGCGUUAUGUGACGGUACCUAAAGAAGAAGCACCGGCUAACUACGUG
This 467-nucleotide ribosomal RNA is filed under the name uncultured bacterium. RNAcentral describes it as "partial 16S ribosomal RNA". It matches the Rfam family "Bacterial small subunit ribosomal RNA", at positions 28 to 507 of the family's 1533-position model. The record is from RNAcentral.